UGGCGGCGUGCUUAACACAUGCAAGUCGAACGGUGAAGCCAAGCUUGCUUGGUGGAUCAGUGGCGAACGGGUGAGUAACACGUGAGCAACCUGCCCUGGACUCUGGGAUAAGCGCUGGAAACGGUGUCUAAUACUGGAUAUGAGCUCUCAUCGCAUGGUGGGGGUUGGAAAGAUUUUUCGGUCUGGGAUGGGCUCGCGGCCUAUCAGCUUGUUGGUGAGGUAAUGGCUCACCAAGGCGUCGACGGGUAGCCGGCCUGAGAGGGUGACCGGCCACACUGGGACUGAGACACGGCCCAGACUCCUACGGGAGGCAGCAGUGGGGAAUAUUGCACAAUGGGCGGAAGCCUGAUGCAGCAACGCCGCGUGAGGGAUGACGGCCUUCGGGUUGUAAACCUCUUUUAGCAGGGAAGAAGCGAGAGUGACGGUACCUGCAGAAAAAGCGCCGGCUAACUACGUGCCAGCAGCCGCGGUAAUACGUAGGGCGCAAGCGUUAUCCGGAAUUAUUGGGCGUAAAGAGCUCGUAGGCGGUUUGUCGCGUCUGCUGUGAAAUCCCGAGGCUCAACCUCGGGCCUGCAGUGGGUACGGGCAGACUAGAGUGCGGUAGGGGAGAUUGGAAUUCCUGGUGUAGCGGUGGAAUGCGCAGAUAUCAGGAGGAACACCGAUGGCGAAGGCAGAUCUCUGGGCCGUAACUGACGCUGAGGAGCGAAAGGGUGGGGAGCAAACAGGCUUAGAUACCCUGGUAGUCCACCCCGUAAACGUUGGGAACUAGUUGUGGGGACCAUUCCACGGUUUCCGUGACGCAGCUAACGCA
RNAcentral lists this ribosomal RNA (811 nucleotides) under Microbacterium aurantiacum. RNAcentral describes it as "partial 16S ribosomal RNA". It matches the Rfam family "Bacterial small subunit ribosomal RNA", at positions 37 to 859 of the family's 1533-position model. The record is from RNAcentral. Lineage: Bacteria; Bacillati; Actinomycetota; Actinomycetes; Micrococcales; Microbacteriaceae.